This 788-nucleotide long non-coding RNA is filed under the name Coturnix japonica (Japanese quail). RNAcentral describes it as "lncRNA (ENSCJPG00005002077.1)". Lineage: Eukaryota; Metazoa; Chordata; Aves; Galliformes; Phasianidae. The record is from RNAcentral.
GGGGGAUAUAGGGGAAAUAUGGGGUGAUAUGGGGGAGAUAUGGGGGGAUAUGCAGUGUGCUUUGCAAUUGAUUUGCAAUGGUUUUGCAGUCAUUUUGCGAUAGAUUUGCAGUGUGUUUGCACGGUGCGUUGCAUGGUGCUGUGCAUGGUGCUGUGCAGCAGGUUUUGCAGUGUAUUUUGCAAUUGAUUUGCAAUGGUUUUGCAGUCAUUUUGCAAUAGAUUUGCAGUGUGCUUUGCAAUUGAUUUGCAAUGGUUUUGCAGUUAUUUUGCAAUUGAUUUGCAAUGGUUUUGCAGUGUAUUUUGCAAUAGAUUUGCUGUGUGUUUGCACGGUGCAUUGCAUGGUGCAUUGCAUGGUGCUGUGCAUGUUUUGCAGCACACUUUGCAAUUGAUUUGCAGCGUGCUUUGCAAUGGAUUUGCAAUGGUUUUGCAGUCAUUUUGCAAUAGAUUUGCAGUAUGUUUGCACAGUGCAUUGCAUGGUGCAUUGCAUGGUGCUGUGCAUGUUUUGCAGCGUGCUUUGCACGGUGCAUUGCAGGUUGCAGCGCAUCCUCACCCAUGACGCCGGGGUUCUUCAUGAGCAGCACGAAGCCGUAGCGCAGCGUGGAGCUGAUGGUUUCGGUGCCGGCAAAGAACAGAUUCAGCGCCGUCAGCUCCAGCAGCUCCAGCAGCUCCUGGUCGUUGUAGUCGAAGCGGCUCCCGAACACCAUGGCACAAAUGAUGUUGGACACGGCGCGGCUCAGCAUGUACGUGGGGUCAAAGGGCUGCCCUAUGGGGGGGGGGGGGCAACAUCAG